AAUUUAGAAACAAACGGUGCUUAGCUAACACGUGUCAGCCUUUUGAGUAAAAGUUUAGGAACAAAAAAAAAAGCGGUGUUUUUCUUUUUUUGUUUAUCUCUGUCGUCUUUUCUCUUUUCGUCAUCGAAGAAGAGUUUCAUCUGGAUGGAGGAAGAAACUCAUCAUACAUCCAUCUAGAUCAAUAUCUGAAUUUUUUGGCUUGAUUUAGGAAGAUUUUUGGCUUGUAUAUAUCAGUAUGGUGCCCAAAUCUGAAAUUUUUAGUGGCCUGUGUUCUUGGCGAAUUGGGUUUCGGUGAAAUUGAGCACUAUCAUGAAUCGACUAUUCGGGAAACCCAAGCAGGAGUCUAAUCGAUCUUAACGAGAUUAGGAAUUGCUAAUUGGGAAUUGGAAAUUGUUUAGUCGAUUGGGAAUUGUUAAUUGCGAAUUGAUGUUAACAAAAUUAGAAUAUGAGAGAACAAUCCCAAAUUCGCAAACCUGGUAGAUCUUCGUCGUCGCUCAGGUGUUGAAUUGCCACUGCAUUCCUGCUUGGACUCAGUUUCAUCAAAACGCUGCCUUUCAACCUGAUCAUCUCUCAGCUCACCCUCUGCAAAUUCUUCUUCAAAAGCUGGCUCCAGCUGCAGAAUUAGGAAACAACAUGAACUUCUAUAGAUGAUUAAACAAUGGCUACUUUUAAGAUCAAAUAUUUGUUUAGUGCAGCGGGAUAAUAGACAUUCAAGAUCGACCAAAAUGGGACAAGGAUUCAGUGAAAGCAAAGGAAAGAGCAAAAGCUAGGGUAUAAAGCUCACCUCAAAGAUAUCUGGGAGUUUUGUAUCAAUGUUGGAAGAUUUUAUGUUGAUCUCCAGCCUUUGCACCUAUCAAUGUCGUAUACUCUCUUCUGGAUUCCUACUAUACAACAAGUGGGUUCUAUCUCCAAAAUACUUCAAUUUUCCACUUCAUCUAACGUUGACAAUUAUCCAUAUGGGAUUUUCUGGAUUUUGUGGCCUUCCUUCUUAUUCAGGUUUUCAAGGUUCGGAAAUACUGCAUAUUUGCACAUUUCAGUUGCCUUCAUACAGAUGCUCCAUAUUCUUAGUAAUCGGAAUUCAACAUUUAGUCUUUGAUGGUUUAACAUGUUCUACUUCCAAGACCAGGUUAUUUUCUCGGUUACACUUACACCAAGAAUUCAACAUUUAGUCUUUGAUGAGAUUAGCCUAAAAUGUACUUUGUUGGUUUCUUACAAGCUUCUUUGUACCUAAUCCAUGGAAACAGAUUCUUCCAUUGUUGAAGAAGCAUGUUCACGUUA
Long non-coding RNA from Camelina sativa (false flax), 1278 nucleotides. RefSeq lists it as uncharacterized. The record is from RefSeq and is a predicted model, not a curated record. Lineage: Eukaryota; Viridiplantae; Streptophyta; Magnoliopsida; Brassicales; Brassicaceae.